Strigops habroptila (Kakapo) is the source of this 94-nucleotide long non-coding RNA. RefSeq lists it as uncharacterized. Lineage: Eukaryota; Metazoa; Chordata; Aves; Psittaciformes; Psittacidae. The record is from RefSeq and is a predicted model, not a curated record. The transcript has 3 exons.
CCCAGUGGGUGCAGGAGGUGGAAGGAGCAGGAGCUCCCUCGAGGGCUCGGAUCAGGAUGGGGUUGACCUGGUGGACUCCAUCAGCCCUGAGCAG